Molecule: long non-coding RNA, 210 nt
Organism: Carassius carassius (crucian carp)
Lineage: Eukaryota; Metazoa; Chordata; Actinopteri; Cypriniformes; Cyprinidae
Exons: 2
Source: RefSeq, a predicted model, not a curated record
AUAUAGUUUGAUUUCUUAUAUUUAAAAAUAUAAUAUUUAGUUUUUGUCCUCAGGAACAACUUAUGUAUUAGCCUCCACCACAGAGACCUCAGAAGACGUACUUCCCCAACACUUAUGUGGUUCCAACAGAGAAGAAGCGUUCUGCUCUAAGAUGGGAGAUCCGACAUGAUUUAGCACAUGGCACUAUUCCAACAAAAAUCUCUUAUCCCU